RNAcentral lists this ribosomal RNA (253 nucleotides) under Salmonella enterica subsp. enterica serovar Enteritidis. RNAcentral describes it as "partial 16S ribosomal RNA". It matches the Rfam family "Bacterial small subunit ribosomal RNA", at positions 1 to 250 of the family's 1533-position model. The record is from RNAcentral. Lineage: Bacteria; Pseudomonadati; Pseudomonadota; Gammaproteobacteria; Enterobacterales; Enterobacteriaceae.
AAAUUGAAGAGUUUGAUCAUGGCUCAGAUUGAACGCUGGCGGCAGGCCUAACACAUGCAAGUCGAACGGUAACAGGAAGCAGCUUGCUGCUUCGCUGACGAGUGGCGGACGGGUGAGUAAUGUCUGGGAAACUGCCUGAUGGAGGGGGAUAACUACUGGAAACGGUGGCUAAUACCGCAUAACGUCGCAAGACCAAAGAGGGGGACCUUUGGGCCUCUUGCCAUCAGAUGUGCCCAGAUGGGAUUAGCUUGUU